CAAAGAGUACAUUGUAUUAGCUUUAAUUUGAUUUAAAGAAGUAGGUUUAUAAAAGUCUAGUUUUUUGGAACAUUAUCAAACACUGAAAAGAUUAACAUUUGUUAUGGUAUAUGGAAUGGUUUUUACAUUGAGGACUAUGUUGUUGGAAAAUUCAGUAAAACUGUAUCAUACUAAUAGUGUACAUAAUUUUUUAUAUUUUGUAUUGUUUUAUUU
Molecule: long non-coding RNA, 213 nt
Organism: Daktulosphaira vitifoliae (grape phylloxera)
Lineage: Eukaryota; Metazoa; Arthropoda; Insecta; Hemiptera; Phylloxeridae
Exons: 2
Source: RefSeq, a predicted model, not a curated record